CUUUACUAUAGCGUGUCAUUGAAAUUAUGUUAAUACUGUUUAGUAUAGGUGGGAGACUUUGAUACUACAUCGCUAGGUGUAGUGGAGUCGAAAUGUGAAAUACCACUCUGUAGUGGUGUGAUUUCUAACUUGAUUCUAACCUAAUCAAGGACAGUGGCUCGUGGGUAGUUUAACUGGGGCGGUUGCCUCCUAAAUGGUAACGGAGGCGUUUAUUAAGGUAUGCUAGACGCGGAUGGAAAUCGCGUUGAUAGUGCAAACGCAUAAGCAUGCUUAACUGCAAGACUGGCGAGUCGCGCAGAGACGAAAGUCGAAGUUAGUGAUCCGAUGCGUUCGAGUGGAAGACGCAAAGCCCAACGGAUAAAAGUUA
This 367-nucleotide ribosomal RNA is filed under the name uncultured organism. RNAcentral describes it as "bacterial LSU rRNA". It matches the Rfam family "Bacterial large subunit ribosomal RNA", at positions 2099 to 2465 of the family's 2925-position model. The record is from RNAcentral.